Molecule: unclassified non-coding RNA, 102 nt
Organism: Cavia porcellus (domestic guinea pig)
Lineage: Eukaryota; Metazoa; Chordata; Mammalia; Rodentia; Caviidae
Rfam family: Y RNA
About the family: Y RNAs are components of the Ro ribonucleoprotein particle (Ro RNP), in association with Ro60 and La proteins. The Y RNAs and Ro60 and La proteins are well conserved, but the function of the Ro RNP is not known. In humans the RNA component can be one of four small RNAs -- hY1, hY3, hY4 and hY5.
Source: Ensembl
GGUUGGUCCGAGUGCAGCAGUAUUCACAACUAAUUGAUCACAACCAGUUACAGAUUUCAUUGUUCCUUCUCCACUCCCACUGCUUCACUUGACUAGCCUAAA